RNAcentral lists this long non-coding RNA (911 nucleotides) under Cottoperca gobio. RNAcentral describes it as "lncRNA (ENSCGOG00000005662.1)". The record is from RNAcentral. Lineage: Eukaryota; Metazoa; Chordata; Actinopteri; Perciformes; Bovichtidae.
ACGUGCUGACCAAACGUGAUCUUUUAUUCUGAAUUCAUUGUUCCGGAUGUCGUCCUUUUACAUUGCAUGGAUAUAGAAGGCUGUUACCGGAAAUAUAACAGUCAGCGCAGACCGUGUAACCAGACUCGCAAAAUAGAAUAUUUGCUUUGAAACCGUUUUCCCUUCAAUUUGGUGUAUUCACUCUGCGAUAGAGGAGUUUGAAUGUCCUUUUGAACAUGUACCGCCCAGGUAAACCUACACACCGGCCGCCGCCGUUCGGACCUCCAACACCCCAUGGACCACCUUUCAGACACGGAGGGUCCUGUAGUGGUCAUCCUCCUGGACACAUGCCGUCUGCACGUUGCGGACCAUUUUCGCAUUCAGCACUGGAUGACCAUUUUCUCCACAACAGGCCACCAAGAGGUCAUUUCAUAAAUGCCCAGCCGUGUACCUCUCUGCUGGCAGUCUGUGCCUCAUUCCAGGUUGUUGGAUGUGGAUCUUUGUCCUCUUGCUCUCCCUCUGUCCCAUCUGUGUGAAUGGUGUGCUUGAGUUUUGCCUCUUGUGUGUUUGUGUAGUGGUGGAAAGGUUUGUGUCUCAAGUCCCAUCUGUUUGAGACAGCUGGAAGCUGCUUCACAUCCUCCUGGAUCUAGUUCUUCAUAUAUUUUUAAAAUGUUGGUUAAUUUGUUGUGUGUCUGUCCGUCCAGGUUGUUGUUGCUCUUCCUGAAGUUUCUUAAUCCUUAUCCCUAUCCAGGGUCUGAGGUCAGAGGGUGUCAUGUGCUGUACAGAUUCCCAUUCAGGCCCAUUGAUUCAUAAAAGUGUCUUGACUUGAUACAGAGUCUGAUCAAAUGUUUAUUUCCCCUACUUAAUAGAGUUGAAUGUGAGGGAGCGUGCAGUAAAGCAACAUUAAAGGAGGGCUCUGGUAAUGUGUCUGU